CACUGGCAGCUGGUUUCAACAAGAGAGAAGACCCCUUCUUUUGCUUCUUCGGUUGGUUCAUGAUUGUGAACACAUUCCUCCAGGAAUGCAAUGCUGAACUGACACUGCCACCGCUUUCCUCUCGCAUUGGCCAAAUGUGAAGGGUGGCUGAGAGAAGAGGAGGGGUAUCCAGUUACCUUGCUAUAAGGUCUCGCAUUAUCCUGUCCACCCUCUGCUCUUGCCGCAGCCAGCCCUUGCUCAGGGAACAAGAGAUAUCUGAAUUUCCCACCUUCAGGUGAAAAACAGAAUCUGUCAUCAUGUCUGAGGAAGAAGUUGAGUAUGAGGAGGAGCAGCAGGAAGGUAAGGGAUAUCUA
This is a long non-coding RNA of Anolis sagrei ordinatus, 353 nucleotides long. RefSeq lists it as uncharacterized. NCBI's taxonomy places the organism in Eukaryota, Metazoa, Chordata, Lepidosauria, Squamata, Anolidae. The record is from RefSeq and is a predicted model, not a curated record.